RNAcentral lists this ribosomal RNA (427 nucleotides) under uncultured bacterium. RNAcentral describes it as "bacterial SSU rRNA". It matches the Rfam family "Bacterial small subunit ribosomal RNA", at positions 355 to 774 of the family's 1533-position model. The record is from RNAcentral.
UGGGGAAUAUUGGACAAUGGGCGCAAGCCUGAUCCAGCAAUGCCGCGUGCAGGAUGAAGGCCUUCGGGUUGUAAACUGCUUUUGUACGGAACGAAAAGCUUCUGGUUAAUACCUGGGAGUCAUGACGGUACCGUAAGAAUAAGCACCGGCUAACUACGUGCCAGCAGCCGCGGUAAUACGUAGGGUGCGAGCGUUAAUCGGAAUUACUGGGCGUAAAGCGUGCGCAGGCGGUUUUGUAAGACAGAGGUGAAAUCCCCGGGCUCAACCUGGGAAUUGCCUUUGUGACUGCAAGGCUUGAGUGCGGCAGAGGGGGAUGGAAUUACGCGUGUAGCAGUGAAAUGCGGAGAUAUGCGGAGGAACACCGAUGGCGAAGGCAAUCCCCUGGGCCUGAACUGACGCUGAUGCACGAAAGCAUGGGGAGCAAACA